RNAcentral lists this long non-coding RNA (486 nucleotides) under Brassica napus (rape). Its description in RNAcentral is "long non-coding RNA (BNAP_LNC022553)". Lineage: Eukaryota; Viridiplantae; Streptophyta; Magnoliopsida; Brassicales; Brassicaceae. The record is from RNAcentral.
UCGAAACCCUCUCUAGACAGUUUGGUCUCAAAGAUCACAGAAUCAAAUGAUGUCACUUAAAAUUACCUCAUCUCUGUUUGAGUUUUGCACAUAUCUUUGCCCAUUCAAACCUAAAAAAAAAUCAUUUUUGAGUGAAACUAAUGAUAUGACGAUCAGUUAACCUAACAAUAUCUAACAGUCAGCUGCACUUAAAACCUCUAGCUAUAGAAAAUGACAUUUCUAUGGUUUAUUGCGCCGUGCUUGACUGAUAACUAUACGUCAAUAUUUAAUAAUUAAGAGAGUGGAAUUUUUUGUUGAUUUCAGUUUUGUACAUACAUACACUUAAGGACAACAGAAGUAUAUAUGCUCUCAAAGAAUAGUUGAAAAACUAGCUAGUCUCUGAAAGACAAGUCAUUUGGUAUGUUCCAAACAUUCUCUACAAACAGAAAAACGACAAAUCAUAUGGAAUUAUCCGCUUCUAAUUAAUACAUAAAUUAAAUCCCAAAU